RNAcentral lists this ribosomal RNA (253 nucleotides) under uncultured bacterium. Its description in RNAcentral is "partial 16S ribosomal RNA". It matches the Rfam family "Bacterial small subunit ribosomal RNA", at positions 524 to 776 of the family's 1533-position model. The record is from RNAcentral.
UACGUAGGUGGCAAGCGUUGUCCGGAUUUACUGGGCGUAAAGAGCGCGCAGGCGGUCAGAUAAGUCGAAUGUGAAAGCCCCCGGCUCAACUGGGGAGGGUCAUUCGAUACUGUUCGACUCGAAGGCAGGAGAGGGAAGUGGAAUUCCUGGUGUAGCGGUGAAAUGCGCAGAUAUCAGGAAGAACACCGGUGGCGAAGGCGGUUCUCUGGGCAUGUCCUGACGCUGAGGAGCGAAAGUGUGGGGAGCGAACAGG